UACGAAGGGGGCUAGCGUUGUUCGGAAUUACUGGGCGUAAAGCGCACGUAGGCGGAUUAGUAAGUCAGGGGUGAAAUCCCGGGGCUCAACCUCGGAACUGCCUUUGAUACUGCUGAUCUCGAGUCCGGAAGAGGUGAGUGGAAUUCCUAGUGUAGAGGUGAAAUUCGUAGAUAUUAGGAAGAACACCAGUGGCGAAGGCGGCCCACUGGUCCGGUCCUGACGCUGAGGUGCCAAAGCGUGGGGCGCAAGCACG
RNAcentral lists this ribosomal RNA (253 nucleotides) under uncultured bacterium. RNAcentral describes it as "partial 16S ribosomal RNA". It matches the Rfam family "Bacterial small subunit ribosomal RNA", at positions 524 to 776 of the family's 1533-position model. The record is from RNAcentral.